Molecule: ribosomal RNA, 598 nt
Filed under: Naganishia adeliensis
Lineage: Eukaryota; Fungi; Basidiomycota; Tremellomycetes; Filobasidiales; Filobasidiaceae
Description: eukaryotic LSU rRNA
Rfam family: Eukaryotic large subunit ribosomal RNA
Source: RNAcentral
AUCAAUAAGCGGAGGAAAAGAAACUAACAAGGAUUCCCCUAGUAACGGCGAGUGAAGCGGGAAGAGCUCAAAUUUGAAAUCUGGUAGCCUUCGGUUGCCCGAGUUGUAAUCUAGAGAAGUGUUUUCCGUGCCGGCCCAUGUACAAGUCCCUUGGAACAGGGCGUCAUAGAGGGUGAGAAUCCCGUCCUUGACAUGGACCCCCGGUGCUUUGUGAUACACUUUCAACGAGUCGAGUUGUUUGGGAAUGCAGCUCAAAAUGGGUGGUGAAUUCCAUCUAAAGCUAAAUAUUGGCGAGAGACCGAUAGCGAACAAGUACCGUGAGGGAAAGAUGAAAAGCACUUUGGAAAGAGAGUUAAACAGUACGUGAAAUUGUUGAAAGGGAAACGAUUGAAGUCAGUCAUGCUCUUAGGAUUCAGCCGUUCUGCGGUGUAUUUCCUUUGAGUGGGGUCAACAUCAGUUUUGAUCGAUGGAUAAAGGCACGAGGAAGGUAGCACUCUCGGGUGAACUUAUAGCCUCGCGUCAUAUACAUUGAUUGGGACUGAGGAACGCAGCAUGCCUUUAUGGCCGGGAUUCGUCCACGUACAUGCUUAGGAUGACA